This 36515-nucleotide long non-coding RNA is filed under the name Setaria italica (foxtail millet). RNAcentral's name for it is "long non-coding RNA (SITA_LNC003660)". The record is from RNAcentral. Lineage: Eukaryota; Viridiplantae; Streptophyta; Magnoliopsida; Poales; Poaceae.
AACUCGCUCAGAGCAUGCUCUGAAAGCAAGGCAAGUGUUCAGGUUCAGUGGUCUGAUGCAAUUUUGAGAUAAAAUUGAAUGUUUUGAGGUUUCCUCACGUCCCAAUUCCUGAGUAGACAUCAGAAAACUACGACUUGCACUGUACUCGGAGAGUAGUGUGUUUUCCCAUGACAAUAUAGCUUUGGGAAACUCUCGAUUAUUCAUGCAGUUUCCUGCAACUAAAUGCUGUCCUUUCCUUGGCUACAAAUUAAUUAUAUUCUGGGAAUGGUUUUUGAUAUGCAGGGCUACCGUUCAUCCUGCAGCGUGUUGUUGGCCUCGGCCGAAGUAUAAUUUCUGAAACAUCAUAUAGAGUCAGAAUGGCACCACGCAGCCUGCUGUUGAAUGCUUCAGAGAAUACAGGCUGGUGUGGUUGUUAAGUGAUCAUAUUACAUAUAGUCAGAGAAUACAGACUACGCUACUAGCUUAGCUAGUGAAAUUGGAUCAGAACACGAACCACGAAGCCUCUCCGGUAAUCGCAGCUUCGCACACCAUCGUCGCGUAGUGAAGAAAAACAACUUCUUCCUCCGAUCUUCUCUGCAGGCAACAACAAUGCCAUCAAGCGCCGCAUGCUGACGAUUAAUUUCCUGUACGUUCCUGCAUCCGGCCGGCAACUUGUUCAUUGUUGGCCUGCCGUUUCCUGUGUUGCAUAGCUUAGCGAGGGCAGGCUAGCAACAUGGGUUUUCGUUCGGGUAGAGUAGGCACCGGAUGGAGGGAGCAUCGAUUCGGUUCACAGGCCAACUUCAUUCGUCGAUCAAAUUCUGAUAGUACGUUUCUCUCGUCAUUGGUUUUCGUCCUUGGCAGCAGCAUUUUCAUCAGUUGUGCUCAAGGCGUUGGCUUCCGGCGAUGCAAAAGCUGCCAAAGCUGUUGCCAGAAACUUGAUUGGUUGCCCGCAUGUACGCUGCUCGUGCUGCUCCUACGUACUCUCCUGGUGGUGUCAGACGCAAUUACGCAACCGUGCAAAGCACAUGGAGACGUCUCCUCGCUACCACACACCGAUCAAAACCGAUACAUCAUGCGCAAGCUCACUUUUUGGAAUUCUUGGCCCAUGAAAAUCAUAUCGAUUUCCCGAAACAGCCGAUCCCAGUCGUAGCCCCGUGGCCAUCCAGCAGCCAGUCAGGUAGAUCCCUGAUCCCUCCUCUACCCGGUGGUCGGUGGAGUCACCCGGAUAACUGCAGCAGAUCUGACUCGUGUUCCUCCUCCAUUUUUCAUACCGAUCACCUGUGCCCUCUCCCUCUCCGCGGUGCCGUCCUUCCUCCGUCAGGCCCUUCGCUGGCGAUGAGCACCCAACAGGUACGCGUGCCUCCUCCUCCGUCCGAGCUCAGCCACUCUCUCUCUUCCUCUCCCCCAAUUCGUUAAAAAACGGUAGGGUGGAGGGCGGCUCGUGGGAUGCGCGGCUGGCGGCUGGGGGCGACGGUGUCAAGGGCAGUUCUGAACCCGGACUGUGCUGCCGUCGCCUCCAAAUCCUGCAUGUAUAGGUGUUAGUGAAGCCGCUCUGUCCUGGCGACCACCGCGCAUUAAGGGUGGUUGCGCUCUUCUAGAUCCGGGCUGCCUCUGCCAAUUUCCCCUUGGUACCCUUCUAGAUUCGGCUCGUCAGCUUCGCACUCAAAGUAGGACCGAUAGUUGUAUGUCCUCGACAAUAUUUUAAUAACAUAAUUGAGAAAAAUGGUGUGCGAAGAAUGAUUCAUGGAGCGCGUCCAUCUGUUUGUUUGAAUAGGCAUCUAAAUCUGAAAUUAUUAUGGUCCUCAGCAUAAUGUACUCUGCGUAAUGUGAUACUCCUGAUCCACUCGUUGUUUGCUGUUGAUGUUAUGUGCAAAGCAUUGCUGAGAUCACAUCACAGAUUCACAGGAGCAAGCUAGUUGCCCUUUCCUCCUCGCGGCCGCAUCCGCCGCGUCCCUCCUCUCGGCCCCGGCCUCCGCCGCGGACGCCCACGCCCCCGCCUCCGAUUCCGCCGCCUACGCCUCCGCGCGGGACGCAGCGGCGCGGUGCGCGGCGACGAUCGUGUCCAUCUCGCCGUGCCUGCCGCACGUGGCGGCGGUAGCGCCGCCGCUGGCCACGUCCCCGCCGGCGCCCACCGACGCCUGCUGCGUCGCCUUCCUCCGCGCCGUCUACCCGUCGGGAGGGAGCGGAGGGGAGGGCUGCCUCUGCCACCUGCUCCGCAACCCGCUCCUCCUCGGCUUCCCCGUCGACGCCGCCCGACUCGGCGCGCUCCUCCCCACCUGCGCCGCGGGAAACUCCUUCGCCGCCGCCACCGUCGAGGCCGCCACCCUCUUCGCCGACGCCUGCCGAGGUGAGCGAGCCACGAGUUCACAAAACACCCCGUGCCCUCCUCCCCUCCCCUCCCCUCUCGUGCCAUGGUUGAGGAACCCUCGGCAUUGUCGCCUCAGGCGUGCUCGGCGCAAUGGUUAAUUUGCUGACGCUCUCGUGUUCUGGGGUGUGCUUGCUGUGCAGCAAGCCAGCAACAGCACAAGUAGGACUAGUUCAUUAACACUUGCUUGCGUGUGUCGUAGACACCAUGGUCGUUCGAUUCCCUGAUGGCUAGUCGAUUAGUCGUCGUCUCAAUCAGCCCUCCAUGUUUGAUUUUAGAGACUCUGUUUUCUCCCCUAGUGAAUUGCUGCAACAAUUACAUUUCUGAUCUUUGUACUGAUUACAGUGGUACUUGCUACUUAGCAUGUUCUAUUUUGGCCUCGAGACAUAUCCUGAUGGUUAGUAGGGUUCUUGGAAUCAGGUGUAUGUGACAGAGGUUCACCUUUAAUGUUAGAUAUUCAUUGCUUGGCAGUUGGCUCCCAUGCUAAUUAGCUGUUUAGGCUCUUAGGUACUCCUCAAGGGUCUAGACAACAUCGUUGAUCUCUCAGUUAAGCUUGUUCAAACAUGGAGGCACAAAGUGUAUGAUAUGGUUUACUUGCUUCUCAAAUUGAUAUUGCUUUUACCAGUGGCAACAGCGAGUGUUGAAAGGGUAUUUUCUGCAUUGGUUAUAGUGAAAACAAAGUCAAGGAAUAAGCUAGGUGAUAGUGUUUUGGACGAUUGUCUAGUCACAUUCAUUGAGUGGGAUAUUUUCUUCCAAGUGAAUGAAGAUGAUAUAAUCAAGACAUUCAUAUCACUCAAAAAGCGGCGGGUAAACAAAGCAGACAAGUAAUAUUUUAAGUUUCUUUUAUGCUAUAUUUCGAACUAUUUCUAUUUCAUUUGAACUAUUUAUAUUGUGAUUUGUUUUUGUUUCUAGCUUAAAUCUUUGAAUUUAAGACUUAUCAUGUUAUUUAGUGCAUGUGGUUUACCGAAUUAGAAUAUGGUUUUACCAAAUUGUAAAUGGUUUUAUCGAAUUGCAUAAGAUUUUGUUUUUCGGCAUACCUUGUGGUGAAAUCCUAGGUUUUCGUCCUCUGGCAGCAGCAUUUUCAUCAGUUGUGCUCAAGGCGCUGGCUUCCGGCGAUGCAAAAGUAGCCAAAGCUGUUGCCAGAAACUUGCUUGGUUGCCCGCAAAUAUGCUGCUUGUGCCGCUGCUACGUACUCUCCUGGUGUCAGACGCAAUUACUCAACCGCGCAAGGCACAUGGAGACGUCUCCUCGCUGCCACACACCAAUCAAAACCGAUGGACAAGUCAACGGCUGCAUGCGCAAGCUCACUUUUUGAAAUUCUUGGCACAUGGAAAUCAUAUCUACUUCCCGAAACAGGCGUCCCAGCCGUAGCCCCGUGGCCCUCUAGGUAGGUAGUCAGGCAGAUCCCUGAUCCCCCCUCUUACCCGAUGGUCGGUGGAGUCACCCGGCCAACUCCAGUGGAUCUGACCCGCGUUCCCCCUCCAUUUUUCAUACCGAUCACCCGUGCCCUCUCCCUCUCCAUGGUGCCGUCCUUCCUCCGUCGGGCCCUUCGCCGGCGACGAGCACCCAACAGGUACUCGCGCCUCCUCCUCCAUCCGAGCUCAGCCGCUCUCUCUCUUCCUCUCCCCCGAUUCGUUAGUGAAUGGCGGGGUGGAGGGCGGCUUGUGGGAUGCGUGGCCGGCGGCCGGGGCGGGUAGUGUCAGGGGCAGUCCUGAACCCGGACUGUGCAUGCCAUCGCCCCCAAAUCCUGCAUGUGCAGGCGUUAGUGAAGCCGCUCUAUCCUGGCGACCACCGUGCAUCAAGGGUGGUUGCGCUGUUCUAGAUCCGGGUUGCCUCUGCCAAUUUCCCCUUGGUACUCUUCUAGAUCCGGCUCGUCAGGUUCGCACCAACGGUAGGGCCGAUAGCUGUAUGUCCUUGGCAAUGUUUUAAUAACGCAAUUGAGCGAAAAUGGUGUGCGAAGAAUGGGUCAUGGAGCGCAUCCAUCUGCUUGUUUGGAUAGGCAUCUAAAACUGAAAUUAUUAUGGUCCUCAACAUAAUGUACUCUGCGUCAUGUGAUACGCCUGAUCCACUCCUUGUUUGCUGUUGAUGUCAUGUGCAAAACAUUGCUGAGAUCACAUCACAGGAGCAAGCUAGUUGCCCUUUCCUUGCUCUUGAGAGCCUCUGUCAACUUGUUGGAAUGAAUACCUGCAACUACCCCUUCUUUUUUUCUCAGAUCUGAUAAUCUUUGUGGCUACUCUGAUCACUGAGUGAUUGUUUUCCUGUGGCAGGUGCAUAGUUUGUGGGCUUGGUCUUGAUAAUUCCGGUGAUCAACAAAGCCAUUGAAGAUGGUACGCUAAUUGGUUUCUUAGUGCUAAUAAACUGAUUUACUAAUGUCAAUGAACAUUCUGGCAUUUAACCCUUUGCUGCUAUUUUGUUAUUGUAUCUUCUUUCUGGAAGGGCUGGUUGUUUUUUUUUAAAUUUUUUUUGUGUACCUCCAGGUGGUUCUUGCAGCUUCCAUCGUUUCAAAGUCAGGAAAAGGUAUGGUGCUUCAGUUAACCAGAUUCUUCGCUAUUGUCGAUUCCCAUAUAAUUUUAUUUUGUACCUCCUUGUUUAUCUGUUAUGUACUUCUGUUAAUUCUAGUCACCAUGUGCUACAUGGUUGCAUCCUAUCACAUAAUCAUAUUGCUAACUAGUUGGUUCUUUACUUAUAUAAGUCUAUGGGUUCACAUGAUGUGAAACCACUAUGUCAGUUUAUCUAGCUUUCCCCCACGGUUGCUACUUUUUUCUUUAAAAGAAGUGAAGGGACUAAGCUGAAGGCUGUUUUUUUUUCUGUUUUCAUUCGCAGCACUUGUUUCAAGACAGUUUGUUGACAUGUCUCGCAUAAGAAUUGAAGGAUUACUCGCUGCGUUCCCGAAACUGGUUGGGACUGGGAAGCAGCACACAUAUGUUGAAACUGAAAAUGUGCGUUAUGUUUAUCAACCUAUUGAAGGUUUAUAUCUUCUACUUAUCACUAACAAGCAGAGCAAUAUUCUUGAAGAUCUGGACACUUUGAGGCUGCUCUCCAAGCUCGUAUCCUAUUUAAUAUGAAUGAAAAUAGAAACUUGGUUUUUUUGGGGGUGGGUGGGAGUGUUAACUUCAAGAACAUAGGCUCAAGAUGACCAUACUGGCCUAUCUGGAUUUUACAGAUUUUACAUAUUACUGAGGGGGGAAACUUAAAAUGCAACAUGCACUAUAGUUGCUUGAAAGUAUCUAUGCAAAAUCUUAACCAAUAUGAAUCUCAUUUCUGAGAGCUGUGUAUAUAUUAACUUCAUGCUACUAUUCAGUGGUAUGUUCUUUCACAGUAAUAUUCUUAUACUACCAUCUCCUUAACUCUUGGAAAGGUGCCUGAAUACUCCCCUUCCUUGGAUGAGGAAGGUGUCUGUAAAACAGCUUUUGAGCUUAUUUUUGCUUUCGACGAAGCCAUCUCUCUCGGAAAUAAGGAAAAUGUAACAGUGCAACAAGUCAAACAAUAUUGUGAGAUGGAGAGCCAUGAAGAAAAGGCACACAAGCUGAUGAUGCAAGCCAAAAUCAAUGAAACGAAGGAUGUCAUGAAGAAGAAGGCUAAUGAGCUUGACAAAAUGAGGGUCUGCACUACUCUUUUCACCAGAUUUAAAAUAUGUUGUAAUUCAUUUAAGUCGUUAUGGGUCAUGUGGGUAUUUUCUGUCAAUCAGCCUUAUUGAACUCUUUCAUUUUGCAUCAAUUUGUGUAAUGUCGCUAGUUAAGUUAAAGCAUCCAUUUAGAGCAUAUUUUGGUAACUCCAGUUUCUCAUGAAUUAACUUGUUGGGAUGGCAUUUGUGAGAUAUAAGCAUACAUAAAGAUGUACUACUGAAUCCUUUCUGGAAAAAAAAACAUAGGAUAGGAUUUAUGGAUUGAAAAUUUCUUGAAAGGAGAGUGGAACCCAAAUUAUUUAGAGGAAAAUUUAGUUAGGUUCCAUUACUGAGAUGUUAAAUUGUAUUAUCAUGUCAGGCUAUUUUGAGUAUGCGUCUUAGUAGUUAGAUUGUACUGCAAUGAUAUUUUUGGGUAUUAUUUUUUAAUGUCUAAGGGGUUAUAUUUUGUGGGUGGUGUUAAUUGCAGAUGGAAAGAGGUAAACUUGACAAAGGCGGAUACUCAUCAAUAUCUGGUCCACGUGUGAUUGAAAAAGCUUUCAAUGAUAUGAGCAUCAGUGGUUCUCGAUUUGGUAGCGGUUCUGGAUUAGGUGGACUGAGCGCUGACAUGGACUCAUUUGCUAGCAAGCCCAAAGGUAAAUCCUUUCUUUCUCUUGGAUUUCUCGAUCAAAUUUUAUUUUAGAAAAGACAAACUUAUUGCAUCAAUUUAUGUCGACGACUUAAACAUUUUCUUCCUUUUUGCAUGCGCAUCUAGUUCUGUUUCGGUCUCCACACAGCCAGGAAAUAUAUGACAUAUAUUACACCCUUUUUUCUUUUUAUUAUGACCCCCUGUAUUUACAUUCUUUCCACAAGUUCUCAUCAUAUCUAUGGAGUAUAGAUACUCCUAGCUUGUUAGGCUUAUCAAUCCCUGAAACUUUGCAGUUCAUACUAUAUUUUACAAAACAAGUUGAAGAUGAGUUAAUAGCAAUAUUGUUCGAAUAAUAAAUGAAGAAGCUUACCUAUCACUUUACUUUGUCUCACUUUCAUGAUGCAUUUAUAAUAUUUUUGAGUUAAUACUAUAUACUUUAAACAUAUAGUGUGUUGGGAUCAUCCUGUAGUUAAGUUCUAUUCAGAUCUUUCUGACUCGGUAUUAGGGAAACAGGACUACAUUACCUGAUUUCUGGUCAAAAUGCUAGAGACAAUACAGGGCUAGCAUAUGACCUAUAUUUGAUUCUAACUGCAAGCGUUGUUUCGACAGGUCAUCCAUCUACAGCUGCUACUGCACCCGGUAAAGGUCUUGGUAUGAAAUUGGGCAAGACACAGAAGACAAAUCAAUUCCUCGAAUCAUUGAAAGCUGAAGGAGAAGUCAUUUUGGAGGAUGUACAACCAAGUGCAGUUCCUUCAAGAUUGUCUGCUCUUCCACCAAGUGAUCCUGUCACAGUGACUAUAGAGGAGAAGCUCAAUGUUGUUGUUAAAAGAGAUGGAGGUAUCAAUAACUUUGAUGUUCAAGGAACCCUUGCUCUUCAGGUUCUCAAUGAUGCUGAUGGAUUCAUCCAAUUGCAGGUAAUCUUUUUUUUAAAAAAAAAUACUUGUGUGUAUAUGGAUGGAAAGCUGUAACCUAUGUAUCACCGAUACGGAAUACGCCGAUACCGAUACCGGUACGGAGAUAUGUUGAUUUCCAAAAAACACAGAUACGCCGAUACGUCAAAAACAUAUAUAUAAUACAUAUUUAAAUAUGAUAAGAAAAAUAAAGAAAGAGAAAAAACAGAGAAAAGAUGAGAUGCGCUUCUAUGUACUAGCUGCCGGCCCACUCAGCCCACCUAAGAACAUUACUUACCCUAAUCAUCUCUCCCCACGCACUCAAGCUGCCGCCGCCAUCAUUACUCUUUUCUUCUUCCUCGCCUCGCCGUGUCUCUUCCUCCCAAGUCCCAACGCAGCUCCACCAUCUCCAGUUAGUGUUUCACACUGCCGAAUAGCAAAAUGGAUAGCCCUUGACUCCUCUCCGGUACUCUCAGAUCCUGUGCUCUUCUCAUAUCACAUCCAUCUCUCUAGGCCCUCUCCAGUUCUGCAUCUCUCUACUGCUACCCAGGGACAGGAAGAAGUAUCGGAGGGAAGUAUCAGAGACGUAUCGCUAAUUAAAUUAUUUGUUUUUCCAUCGUAAUUUCUCGAUACACGUAUCAGGCCGUAUCGCGAUGUAUCGCCGUAUCCCGCCGUAUCCGAUACCGGUACAGCGACCUGUUGGACGUAUCGGUGAUACGUAAGCUGUAACUAUGAAACAGUAUAUAGCUAUAUUUGCCUUGUCAUGUGAACCUAUAUUGACAUUGUAUUAUAUUCAUUGUUCUGGUCGCCUUUCAUUUAUCCUUCUUGUGCUGUUUUUUUUUUCUCUUAUUGCCAAUAAGCAGCUUUAUUGCACACAGCAGCGUAUAAUCAUAUGAAUCAGCUUAUCAGUUGAUUUUUCUAACAUAUGGUGUGUUGUAGAUUGAAAGCCAAGAUAUUCCUGGACUUAGCUUCAAAACACACCCCAAUAUCAACAAGGAGUUGUUUAACAGUCAACAAAUUUUGGGAGCAAAAGAUCCAAACAGGCCCUUCCCGAGUGGUCAAAAUGAAACUCCUCUGGUGAAAUGGAGAAUCCAGGGGAUGAACGAAUCAUCUUUACCUCUCUCAGGUGCAACAUAACUUUGUUUAUAUCUGUCUAAGAAUUUGGAAAUUUGGACUUGCAUUAACAUGCUUUUGCUCGAUGUAGUCAAUUGCUGGCCGUCCGUGUCUGGAAAUGAAACCUAUGUCAACAUUGAAUAUGAAGCUUCUGAGAUGUUUGAUCUUCACAAUGUUGUCAUAUCUAUACCACUGCCAGCACUUCGGGAGGCUCCAAAUGUUAAACAGAUAGAUGGAGAGUGGAAGUAAUGUUUCCUUUUCCUCUUCAGUUUAUUUAUAUGUUAUUUACUAAAGUAUGUCGCAUAAAUUAUUGUGACAGUGCAUUACCAUAUAUGCACUUGGUUUUGGUCUUUAUGUGAGGCCUUUUAUUAUUAAUCUUUAACAGACCAAAUGUGAUAACCUCUAGUGUUUUGCUGUUAUAACUGGUAUAUCAAGCUGUUACAGUGGACUCGUCUAUAUGCAGCUCAGCUUUUGUAUCCUAGAUGGUAGUGCUUUCUAUAGGUCUGAAAAAAACUGUGGUGUUUACUGCUUUAUUCCGUUUCCUUGUGGCAUUUCGUGAUGCACCUUUCUUUGAUUUUAUUGAACUGAGCUUGUGUUUGUUGUCUCAGCUUUUUUUUAUUGUUUCACUUUUCCUUGUGCAAACAGGUUUGACUCAGAAAUUCUGUGUUGGAAUGGUCUAUUCUCCUUAUUGAUCAGUCCAACCGCAGGUUAUUUGAAUAUUUAAGAUCAUGAUCACCAUUCUAUUUUGUAGAUUUAGUUCUUGUGUCUUAACUAUUGCUUUAUGUGCCCUUUGCAGUGGUUCCAUGGAAUUUGUCGUCCCCCCAGCUGAUCCAUCAUCAUUCUUCCCCAUCUCUGUUGGGUUUUCUGCAUCCGGUACUUUCAGUGAUUUGAAGGUUGGUUCCCGCAUGCUGCUCGAAUGAGCCCUCCUAUGUUUGGUGUCUCCCUAUUCAUCCUUGUCAAUUGUGUUUAUCUGAAACUUUUCAGGUUACUGGAAUCCAUCCUCUGAAGGAAGGCAACGCUCCGAAGUUUUCACAGCGGGCUUGUUUGCUCACUGCUAACUAUCAAGUAGUUUAAUGCUCUUAUCAUGGUCGAGUGUUGUUUCACUUAAAUACUCCAACGGCACCGGGUAGUAACACAACGUAUUUUUGCCAUGAACUUCUUCGAGCCAUGGCAGGGAGCAUUGUUUCGCAUUUGGAGAAUAUUAUCCUUUUGCCCUUUCAUUUUUAGCGUGUUGCGCGGAUUGAUGUUCAUUCAGAUGUAUUGUUGCCAGAGAAAAUAAGCACCUGAGUUCUUGCAUUUCUCUUGGUACUGGCCCUGGCAGGGAGUUGCGCAGCAACCAGUGGGCGAAUGCAAGGCCGCUGGAAAAGCAGGCGAGAUCUCUGGUUCCGUUCUGUACUGAUGCGAACUUGCUACGCAACAGAUUAGUGAAAUGGAUCGGAGUAUCGGAGCCACUGCACUCCAGUACUCCAAUGGCACGUCAUCGCGUGCCCAAGGAACACGAGAAUUGGUUCGCUUGAUGAAGCGGGCAGAAACAGAGAAUACGAAGUCAACGAAUUGAAUUUUACGCUCGACCGACACCGUCAUUAAAUAGGAAAUCCAUCUACAGCUAGCAAAGUGUAGUAAAGGCCCAUAAGCUGAUGAGCCCAUGGCCCAUUCAAGCAUAAACACCCUGGGUCAGUGCUGGCCCAUCUUGGCCUCUCGUUUCUCGCCAGGAGGCGGCACGCCGAAUUUUUUUAUUUUUUUAUUUUUUCUUUAACGAUUUUGCGGAAAUAAAUAGCUGGCGGUAACAAAAGCAACAAGGCAACGGCUCGACAGAUUAUUUAAUCGUGCGUCCUUCCAGUACGUUCUACAAGGACGAUUAGAUGGCCACUGAAGCCGGUUGGCACCGUGCAGUAACCCGUCUUUUUUGUUUUUUAACUUUUUUUCGAAAAAUUCUCAUAAAUACAUCCCAACGGAACCAAUUCCAAAAAUAAACCCUUAGCUUGACGCUAUCCACGCUGGUGCCAAGCUUACACGUUUCGGCGCCAGCCAUCCUGGUACCAAGGUCCAUGCGCAGCUGCUGACGUGGAUGCCGACGUGGCGGGGGCUCGCCAAGCUUGAUGCCGUAGGCCUUGGCGCCGAGAAAUUUACCCCAUACCUCCUAACGUUUCGAACAAAACAAGUAUAAUUAUUCCGAAAAAUGUGCAACAAACUACACUCUAGUCCAAUUAGUUAGGAUAUGAGCUUCUUAUCCUAAAGAUUUUUUGUUCGUUCGUUUGCAUCGAGAACGUUUCCUCAUCAGACGCUUCUAUGUCAGCUGUUUAUCUGCACUGUCCUUUGUCCCAUUCAACGUCCCCACACUGUAUUUGUGAGUGGCUGAUGAAUCGUUCAUCGAGCAAUGUUGAGCCUGACUGUUUCUGGAACAAAAGAACAGUGCUGUGUGCGUUUUGCUUCAUCAACUUAUCUGCAUCUGUCCUGCAAUGAAUCUGUCUGCUGUGGUGGGACGGGAUGUGAGACGUGAGAGGCGCGACGUUGUGCAAAGAAUAGUUGGACUGUAAUACUCCCUCCGUUCGUUUUUGAUCCGAAAAAUUCUCCUUUGAUGCAAACGAACAAAAAAAAUAAAAUACCCUCACCGUUCGUUUUUGAUCCGAAAAAUUCUCUUUUGAUGCAAACGAACGGAAAAAAAAAGUAGUAAAAAGAUUCAACAUAGAGGUUUGAACUCAGGCCUUUGGAAUAAGAAACCCACAUCCUAACUAAUUGGACUAGAGUGUAGUUUGUUGCACACUCCUCGGAAUAAGUAUACUUGUUUCUCUCAAAACGCCAGGAGGUAUGGGGUAAAUUGCUUGGCGCCAAGGUCUACGGCACCAUGAUGGCGCCAAGCCCCCGCCACGUUGGCAUCCGCGUCAGCAGCUGCGCAUGUACCUUGGCGCCAGGAUGGCUGGCGCCGAGACGUGUAAGCUUGGCGCCAGCGUGGAUGGCGCCAAGCUAAGGGUUCAUUUUUGGAAUUGGUUCCUCACGCUGGCGCCAAGCUAACGGUCCAUUUUUGGAAUUGGUUCCGUCAGGGGUGUAUUUGUGAGAAUCUUUAGCAAAAAGGGUUAAAAAACAAAAAAGUCGGCAGUAACUCUCAUCUACCCUGCUAGCUAUCACUACGACCUCAGAUGCCUCAUGCUAUUGGUGGCUUGGUGCCUGUCCUCCAGCCUUUACUGCACGCGCGCAUCUAACUCAUUGACUCUACUCUUCCGCCAGUCAGUCACCACCAUUUCUUUCGAACGGAACGGUGCCUGCUUGGCUGCUUUGCUUGUCGUCCCUCCACUCUACUUAGCUCGUCGGCCGGCCACCUCUUCUCCACUGGAUCCGGUGCUCAACGACGGUUGCGUCGGUGCCCUCUACCCAGGCCGCUCCCAGGCAUGGUGCUUGGCGUUGGAGUGACUGACAUGGGAUCUUUCAGGUAGGCGCUGGAGGUACCGGCAUCUGUGUUGGGCAUAAUCAGCUUCUCCUGGUUUCCCUUGGGUGAGUACCAUGCUCUUGAGUCUUGUCACAGCGGCAUCCCUUUUGUUUUGCUCCUCUGGCAGUGGCAAUAGAAAUGUCAGUAUCAGUAGCAACAUGUCCUGAUGGUUUUCUGUUUCUGCAUCCAGCAAACUCAAAGGUCAACAGCACUGAGCUCGGCUCCAACAUUGGUGCACUCAAAAUGGAGUUGAUGUACGUGCAAGAUAUGCUCGACAACACGGAGGGGAGGGACAUCCACAGCCCUGCACUCAAAGAGCUUCUAGGGAUAUUUACGCCUCCACUACUCGCCCAUUUGGAGUUGCUGGAGUGUCUAGGGAUGCAUUGAAGAUCAAGACUCAUCAAGAACACAUCCAUGCCACCAAAAGUGCUUAAGUGAUCUAUCAAAGGCUUAGCACAAGCUUAGAAGAGUGAUUAGUGCUAGGAUAGGUUUAGAGAGGAGUGAGUGCAAGGUGUGACAACACUGUGAUCAGGUUCUAGAGUGAACCACCGCUGUACAAGAGGUGUGCCGGUACCUUGGAGCCUUGGUAGUUCGUAGGCAAGUCUUCAACCCUCCAGCUUGGUGUGGAGUAGUGUCGACGACCUUGUGUGAGGGACAUGAAGACCCCCUUUCCUUCAUGGAGAAGCUCCUUAAUGAAGACAGCAUCAAGGUGACCGAGUUACUUGGCGUGAGCAUUUGUGGCAAGUCAAGGAGCACCUUGGGAGAGACUUGGUGACCCGGAAGCAAUAUUCUUGUGUGAGUGCUUCAACAACGUGGACUAGUGAUGGCUUAGUGCCUACCGAUACCACGGGAUAAAUCCUUAUGUCAAGAGUUUGAUUCCUCUCAAAUCAUCAAAUUGCAAAAAUUGUUAAUGUUCAAGAUUUGGGAGAAGGUGACCCAAUUACCAUCCCCGCUCUAGGCCCAACUGAGCCCACCCACAACCAACCAACUCAGGCACUCCGCAGUCCGCAUGGCCCAACACACGCCUCACUCCUCUCAGCAGCCCUCCUACAUGGCGUCUCCGCGCGCCGCCCACCGGUGCACUCCCCCAACCAUCGCCACCGCCUCCACCCUGGGGCCACCCACAUCACCGCGCCCGUCCGUCCACCUCCAACUGACUCAUCAGCUCCUGAGCCACCCGACCACUCAGUCAGAUGUUGCCGCUCCGCCGCCACGGCUCCUGCUAAACAACGUCUCGUGCAUGCAGAACACGUAGACGGUGCUCCGGGACAUCAAUCUCGGUGUCCACGAUGGCACGGCCCUCGUUCUCACCGGCGCCAAUGGCUCCAGCAAGACCAUCCUGCUCCGCAUGCUGGCGGGAUUCUCACAGCACACGAUGGGGGAGAUCCUCUGGAACGGCCACGACGUCACCUCCCCAGGCAUGUUCCAGCAGUACAAGCUGCAUCUCAACUGGAUGUCACUCAAGGAUGCUAAGUGUGCUAAACAUCACCUCAAACGCAAAUAGACACUUUAAUCGAAUCAAAAUGGUAGUCUGUCGGGUUCCCGGUACAACCACGUAUUUCUGAUUGAAACAAGCAUACAACACUCGUACGAAGAUGAGCCCAAAGAUUACAACAGCCCAGAUGUAAAUAUUACAGAGGUCCCAAAUUAAUUUAUUACAAACCGAGUUUCAAAUGCAUAAAGUAGUUCAGAGUUCAAAAGCAGCGAAAAUAAAUGAUAGAUCUAGCGUCGAUACAGGAUACCAUGGUGAAGCUAUCCAUGAUAUCACUCACCACGGUCCUCACCCACCGAGGACGGGUCCUACUCAACUGGUCAUCCUGGAAAGAGCUGGUACGACCAAGUCACACUAGCAAUCAUGUUAUCAACAUCAACAAUAUAUGAAAACAUAGCAACAAGCAAGGGUGAGUAUACUAAUACUCUGUAAGACUUACCCGUCAGGUGUUAUCUAAUCCAUCAACUCCUAGACAUGCAAGGCUUUUUGGCUGAGGGGUUUGUUUUUGCCAAAAGCUUCUAAAGUGGAUCUGUCGGUGCAAAAUCUGGCCGACAAGUAAAUAUUUGUAGUUUUGCCGUGCGUUAGAUCGGAGAUGGCCUAGCACACAAUGACACAGGAUGUAUAUUGGUUUGGGCAACACACCCUACGUCCAGUCGGGGUCAGUCAGUCGACUUUAUUCCUGAGUCCAUGUGCUCAAAGUUUAUAGUGGGGGUACGAAUGAGAGGAGGAUGAGAGGGGGUGCCUGAGUCUUGGCCUUGUUCUCAUCUCAGUGGAAGAGAGUGGUAUGAGUUCAGACAUGCGCUAAGUGUGUGAGAGUGUGAGAGCGUAAGAGUGUAAGAACAUCCAAGUGCGUAUAUCAACAUCCCCGUCCCCCCGUAGAGGUAGGGGAUUCGUCCCCUUUUAGAGUACAAGGGAACGACCUUACAAGUCAGAAUGGAUAAGAGAGUGAGUCUACAGAUGUUGCCUAGUCUUGUCGAAGCCCACGUCGUCUGGUGUGGUAUAGCCUCCGUCCUCGGUCCCUGUUCUCCUCGUCAGGCCACUCCGUCGUAGCGAGUAAGUUUACGGCGGCACUGUGCGAGGCGUGCAGAAGGCAUGAUGUGGUACGGUUUUGUGUAUGGCCAGUUGACCCGGGUGCUUCCUCAUGAUCCGUCCCACCUACUCCCUGGGCCCACACCGAGUGGGUGUCCUCGGUCAGUUGUCCUAGACGGCCCCGACUGAGUCGGUUGGGGGGAGCAGUAUGGACGGUACGGUGCAUCCCCGGUCAUGAGAACUCAGUCGGGGUCGGACUGUGGCCCCACCCUCAACUGACUCCUUCCGGACGGGGUGCUGACUAGGCUUCCUGGUUGGAGGAAUCGGCCGGUGGCUGGAUUGGGGCCUCAGCCUGGCUACGUGUAGCUGGGCCGGCCCAGGUGCACGUUGUUGCGGUGCCCCUCAUUGGGCCAAGUGUUGUGGGAAGGCUGUCCCAUUGGGGACCCCGGGUCUGUGGACCCGUCAGGAGCCACUGAGCCCCUUUGGGGCUUUGUUGAAGCCAUGAAGGGGCUUUUGGUCGGAAUGUUCCAUCAGGGGGAACACACAGGGGUGUUGUUUGUUUUUUUCUUGUUUGCGAAGUGGGCAGGCCGAGUAGGUUCAAGCGUUCUAGCCCCUCGAGUAGGUACAUGCGCCCAACUCUCGAGGGGACGACCGGCAGAGGCCGCAGGGGCGCAUCAGAUAGAUACUGAUGCCCAGCUCCCAAGGAGAUGAUUGGCGUGGGUUGCAGGGGUGCACCGGAUUGUAGAAGGUGCCCAGCUCUCAAGGAGGGGACUUGCUUGUUGUCCGACAUCUGCCUGGUUCAUGUGAGCGGACCUGGUGGGUCUAGCCCCCGAGCCUACGGCCGACUGAGGAGUUGGUCGGAGGCUGAGCACUUGGGUACCCCUUUGACCAGAAGCGAGUCAAGCGGAUACUGAUGCCCUUCUCCCGAGGAGGGGAUCCGUUGUUAGUCCGGCUUCCGCCGGGUGCGCGCGAGUGCACCUGAUGGGUGUAGCCCCCGAGCCUACGACCGACUAGAGAGUCGGUCGGAGGCCGAGCACUUAGGUACUCUUUUCUGGGGCCGCACACUUUGGCGUCCCUGUCGGUCAGGAUGAGGUGGUCCUUCUUGCGAGUUGGGGUGCUUGCCCGUGUUCGUUCUGACCGCAACUUGUGUCGUUGGUCGUAUUCCCGAGUCAGGAUAUGACGGCCCGAGCCCCCAAGUUUCGUUGGGCUUAGUCGACGUCGGUCGAGUUUCAUGCAUCACCCUGUCCGCGGUCUCCACGACCAGAGGGGCUGAGCUAGCGUCGCUUGCCUCGAUGGCUCGAGCAACGCACUCGGUGAGCUUGCUAAUGGGCAUGUCCGAGUGGAAUCCGGGUCCGUCGUUCGUAACGGGGUCAGCAUAGCCCUCAUGUGGCAUUCCACUGCUCCUUAACCCGUAUCCCGACAAAUGCCUGAGCUGCUCCGGAGACCGACUCAGGUGACCGGCUGGCCUCUCCUCCAUGGAGAUUCUAUGGGCAUGGCUUGAGGACAGGAUUGAACGAGAAGGUCGAGAUGAUCUCGUCCGCUUCUGAGCAGGUCGGGCGAAGGCCAUUGGGGCUUCACCUACAUUUUCACCUUUGGCUCUGUUUGAUGUGAGGUGUCCUCGAGCCCUUUGGGUGCUAGCCUUCGAACCCCGGUCGGUCGCAGCUCAUAUCGAAUGAACCUCAUUGCUUUAUGACACGACACAAAGCCAUUGGAAUGCAAUGAUUACAUGAAUGAGAUGAAUGUAUGAUGCAUGAAUGAAUGCAUGCACGCAUGAGAUGGAUGAAUAAAUGUGUGCACGCUUGUAGAGCAUGUAAAUGGGGGGUCGGUGAUGUUGCCUUGGUCGGUCUUUCAGGCGUCACCCCAUUUGUGGUUUCCGCAACAAGAGGGGCUAAGCUAGCGUUUCUUAUCUCAAGGGUUCGAGUGACAGGCUCGAGGCACCAUUAGCGGGUACGCCUGAGUGGAAUCCGUAUCCAUCGUAGGUGAUGGGGUUGGCAUGUCCUGCAUGUUAGCUUUCCUCUGUUUUUACCUAUCUCCCAUCGGAUGCUCGAACCCUCCGAGUGCCCUGCUAGCCUUGGUUCGAUGAAGGCUCAGACGGUGGGUCCCUUCGCUCCGUCCGACCGACCCGAGUGCCUACUAUCCUUGGUUUGAUGGAGGUUCUGACGGUGGGUCCCUCCACUCCCUUGCCUCAAAAGGCGAAGGGGCUCUUGCAUGUGGUUUUGCCCCAUUUUUCGCGGUUUCGCUGCAGAAGUAGGUGGGCCCCUCCUAGGUCAUGCCCAAUUGUGUAGGGUCACGUCCCGUUGGUUGCGUCCUGUCCGCCAGGGCUCCAUCCUCCCUUCCCUAUUAAAUAGGGGGAGGGGUGGAUGUCUUCUGGCCCAUCCUUUCACCUUCCCUCGAUCGUUGCCGCUUCCUCCUCCGCCCUUCCACCAAAAAGAUAUGUUCAUUGCCUCCCGUUGCGUGAUGUCUAAUGGGAGGCCGUCCACCAUGACUGCGAUGUGGGCCAUGGAGGCUCGCCGCUCGUGGAUGGCCGCACGCACGUGUCGGGAGGGUGUCGCCAAUCCUGAUACAGUGGUGCAAGCCAGGACGGAGCUGGGCGCUGUCCCGACCGCGACCGACCCGAGCGUUGACCCAACUACGAUAGGGGAGCUCUCGUCCUUGUAAGUUGUGCCGCCAACCGACUCGGCCGAGGGGGAGCAGUAGAAUAGGGGUAGUUAGUUUCUUUGUGUGUGAAAGAAAUUUGUGGGGGACUGUGAGCCCCUGAGUGAACAAUCUUAAGUUCAUUUGUGAUUGUGAUGGGGAGCUUGUCCCACCCAUCCUCAUUUUCACCCUUAAGCAAUUUCUGCUUUUUGCCCUUUUCCUUUCAGACCUGCCCGUUGACCAUGGGCUGCAACAUUAAGAACCUAGGCAUGGCCCGCGAGGCUCAGUUGCUCGUAACCGUAGUUGUGGCAGGGUCCAAUCGGUCCGCAAGCUAGAGCAUAAGUUGCUUUUAGGGUGAAUUAGAGGAUGGGAUGCCUUUCAUUUGGGCACGCCCUUUCACUUGAGCGAGCUGCGUGGUUACGCAAAAAGUAAAGAGGGGGUGGUGCUGCACCCCCGUGGAGCCCCCAAGCGACCCGAGCCGAGAGUGCUCAAGCCGGGUGCUGUAGCAGCAACUGUUGAAUGGAAAAGGACUUGUAAUGAACCGAGUUAAGGAAAUAAACAACGUAACUACUCAAUGUUCCAAGUGUUAGUGAGGAUGUUGCUGUCGUCGUGCUUCAGUCGAUAGGCGCCCAGUCGGAUCACCUCAGCUACCGUGUAUGUUCCUUCUUGUUCUUCUUGCCCUACCGUGCGGAGGGACCCUCAUCCUGGUCUCACCCUUGGCCAUGCCCUUGUCCCGACCACCACUGAAGACCGCCCCGACCGCCUCCUCACCGAAGGCGUGGUUUGUGGCGAUGUCAAGCAGGUCGCGGGUGGUCUGGGGCUUCAUGCAGCCAAGCUUGUGGACCAAGGACUUGUAGGUCAUCCUAGAGAGGAACGCACUGACAACAUCUACGUCGACGACGUCGGGUAGGGAGUUGCAUUGCCUUGAGAACCUACGGAUGUAAUCCCACAGGGACUCGUUAGGCUCUUGCUUGCAACUCUUAAGGUCCCAGGAGUUCCCAGGGCGGACGUAGGUCCCCUGGAAGUUCCCGACGAAGACCUUCUUGAGGCCUGCCCAGUCAUGGAUGCUGUUGGGCGGUAGAAAUUUGAGCCAUGCCCGAAUAAACUCCCCUACGCAGAUGGGGAGGUACUGGAUGACGAAGUAGUCAUCAUCUGCUCCACCGUCUUGGCAGGCAAGCCGGAAGUCUUCGAGCUAUACACCGGGAUUUGUCUCCCCAGUGUACUUCAUGAUGUUGGUAGGCAGUCGAAAGUGCUGUGGGAAAGGUACUUUUUGGAUACGGUGACCGAAGUCCCGUGGUCCCAGUCCAUCCGGCCUAGGGUUCCGGUCACCGUUCUAGUCAAUUGGUCGGCCGCCUUGCCUAGGGUGCACUCCUUCACGCUCCUCGUCGGACCGAUCGCGGGCCGUGUUGGCUGCCCUUGCCACCAUUUGUUCGACGUAGGCGUCGUGCUGCUCCAGGCAUCGCGUGUGGAUGACACUACGUGCUUCAUGGUUUGGCCCAAUCCGCUCACGCACGGGCUAACAUUACGGCGCUGGUGCCAGGUCGGGCUGCGGAGCCGCUGCACCGCUCGGCCCUGCUCGACGUGCCUGCGGGGGCGAGCAGAUGGAGUAGAUUGGCUGGUGCGGCCCCAGCGCUCUGGUUAGGCAAGAGGCUGCGUGUCACUGUCGCAACAUGGAGCCCUUUGCCUUCUGUACGGUGGCGGUUUCUACCAGCGCCCGGAGGUUCCGGUGGAUUGCCAGCUACUGGGGGUCUGUUGGCUCGGGGAGGCUGCGUAGAAGCAUCGCUGCGGCGGUGAUGUUCUGUCCGGCCUGAGCGAACUACGGGAGGUCGUUCCCUCCUGCCAGGAUCUUGCGCUGGACCUAACGGGCGUGGCCUCGAGCGCCGCUUGCCGGGUUGCACGCGUGCGGUGAGGAGUGAUGCGCUGGGCGCGCUGGCGGAGGCGGCUGUUGGUCCUGCUACCGCUGUCACAGCUUGUCACCAUGCGCCUGCGCUUGCGCCAGGGGCUCCACACGGUGGUUCGGCGGGGUGUGAGUCUCAAAAGAUUCCACCACCUCCGAAAGCUGUUCCAGGGCAUCCGCCAUGGUGCACUCUUGGGACAGAGGAUGGUCAAGUGCCAUCAUGUCGCUAAUGCUGGAGCUGUCGCUCUCUAGCUCCUCGUCGCAGAGUCGUUGAAGGAGGCGGGAGCGUAGUCCGCCAUUCCCACAAACUCGCACGAGUGGAGAGACAAUGUCAUGACCCUCCAAAGCCCCCGUGUGUAUGCAUCCACCAGGGAUGCAAGGCCGAAGGGGAGCCAGGCACGCAGUGAACGUAGCGGGGACACGGAGCUCCUCUGGAGAGCUGACGGAAAGUGUUAGCCAGUGAAUACAUGAUAGUACCCACGUAAUUCAUCGUGGGGUUCAUGCCCAGCACGGACUUGAUGCGGAGUGUGAGUGCCUCCACGUCAAGGUCGUCGAGGGGCUCACGGACGACAAUGCGAGCCGCCUUUCCUAGGGAUGCGGGGAAGUCAUCUCCUCGUGGGGUCAGAGUACACCGAACUGAUUAGCGAUGAACUCCAGACUUCCAAAGUGGAAGGCCUGGGACAACGCGAAGACGGGUGGAACCCACGUCCCACCGAGGAUGGGCGCGGGAAACUUUAGUGAGCCGAAGCGAAUCGUAUCACUCGAGCCCACCAUGCCGAGGGUGGAAAUGAGGUGGCCCAUCCAAUGAACUGCAAAAGGCGAAUGCAACGACGUCCUUCCCACAGACGGCGCCAACUGUCGGUGCAAAAUCUAGUCGACAAGUAAAUAUUUGUAGUUUUGCCGUGCAUUAGAUCAGAUAUGGCCUAGCAUACAAUGACACAGGAUGUAUACUGGUUCGGGCAACGCGCCCUACGUCUAGUUGGGGUCAGUCGAUCGACUUUAUUCUUGAGCCCAGGUGCUCAAAAUUUGCAGUGGGGGUAAAAACGAGAGGAGGAUGAGAGGGGGUGCCUGAGUCCUGGCCUUGUUCUCAUCUCAGUGGAAGAGAGUGGCACAAGUUUAGACUUGUGCUAAGUGUUUGAGAGUGUGAGAGCGUAAGAGUGUAGGAACGUCCGAGUGCGUAUAUCAACGUCCCUGUUCCCCCGUAGAGGUGAAGGGUCCAUCCCCUUCUAUUGUACAAGGGAACGGCCUUACAGGUCGGAAAGGAUAAGAGAGUGAGUGUAGAUGCGCUGCCUAGUCUUGUCGAAGCUCACGUCGUCUGGUGUGGUAUGACCUCCGUCCUCGAUCCCUAUUCUCGUCGUCAGGCCACUCCGUCAUAGCGAGUAGGUUUACGGCGGCACUGUGCGAGGCGUGCGCAGGGCGUGGCGCGGUAUGGUUCGGCGUACGGCUGGCUGACCCAAGCGCUUCCUCGUUAUCCAUCCACCUACUCCCUGAGCCCACACCAGCGGACGUCCCCAGUCAGUUGUCCCAAUCAGCCCCGACCAAGUCAGUCGGGGAGAGCGGUACGGGCGGUACAGUGCAUCCCUGGUCAUGAGAACUCAGUCGAAGGACUGUGGCCCCACCCCUGACUGACUCCUUCUGAAUAGGGUGCCAACUAGGCUUCCUGGUCGGAGGAAUCGGCCGGUGGCCGGAUUAGGGCCUCAGCCUGGCUACGCGUAGCCGGGUUGGCCUAGGUGCACGUUGUUGCGGUGCCCCUCGUUGGGCCAAGUGUUGUGGGAAGGCUGUCCCGUUGGGGACCCCGGGUCUAUGGACCCGUCAGGAUCCUUGCUCUUAAGUUUUAGCAUCAAGUUCUAGUUGAUUAACCAUUCUAGAUAAGUACAUAUUCUAAGCAAGAAUGGUAGAACAAGCAAUUUAAUCAAGCAUCAUCCUUGUUCAUCUUUUUACUCAAUGUAGCAUAGUGAUCAAGUAGUCUCAAACUGUGAGAAUCAGACGAUUAGAAUCGAAUUUCUUAACCUUGCAAGAUGGAUCUAAACACACGACAUAUGCAUACCACGACGAGUUCACAUAUACCAAUGGUUCCCAUCAAUUCGAUUAUCCAGAUCCCACUUCCCUUGGAUACAAGGCCCCACCGGUCCCCGGAACGACACCGUGACGUGGCCGCACUUGUAACCACAUGAGGCCUCAGGGGAACUCGAUUCCAGAGAAAGCAGGGUACAGGUUCACGCCGGUUAAUUCAAGUACUAGGCUUACUGAUUCCCCAUACUCUCAGCAUGUGUUUAGUACAUUCAAACACUUGACCACGAACACCGACACAGUUCGACCUUAGCAAAUUUCCUCUAUACAGAUGGGGCAUCCACAAUUUUAGGAACAUAGUACCAAGCCCCGCUCGUCAACCUUAUGAUUCCAAUAUAAUUAAACAGGCUAGUCCUAUAACUCGCGAGUGACAGGAAAUCACUCGACUUUUACCGUGUCCCUAUUUAGCAUAGUACCUACUCGACUUAACAUGCUAGUAUUCAAGUCAUGGGUACUAGGAGCAUGCAACUAAGGUUUCAAGAAACUCCUAUGAACUUAAUACACAAACAUAAGUAUCAUAAGUAUUGCAUAAUUUAGAAACUAGGGUGAUGAUCUGGGGCUUGCCUUGGGCUCUUCCGAAUCUAGGUUUGGGUCUUGAGUCGUCUUGAUCAGGUUCAGCUCCGCAAUAGGAGAGGGUUCUUCUUCAACUUCCAGGACUAGCUCGUAAGUUCCGUCCGUGAGGUUAGCUUCUAUACGAGAUGCAUAUGUAUAAGUUUUCAUUUAUAAUCUUUCAUUUCAUUAAUUAUUCCAAAAGCAUAGGGUGUAUUUUCGGCCACAUUCACUUAGACAAGUUUGUAACAUUUCUUUUCUUCGCAAAACAAGGUUGGUUAGGAAGAAACAUGGAUUUUAUUUUGAUGGUGAUUGUGUACACAUAUAAGAUUCUUAAAAACUUAGUAUUUAAAAGAUAGAAGGUGGUGUCGUGUUGCAACCUUCAUACGAGUGAUUAUGUUACUGAAGAAAAGCACAAUAAUUACUCGUGAGCCUACAAGUCGUAAUACUACUUAUUUUUAAGAAUCAAACUAGCUUUCAAACAUGAAUAAAUAUUUUAGGAAGCAUCUGUUAAGAUAUGGACAUGAAAGUUUUACAGGAACUUUCCCCCUACACAAGAUAUCUACUGUAAAAAAAUUUGAGAUGAAAAUUGACAACCACAGAAUUUACUAAAAAUCAAAUAUAAUUACAUUACAGAUUAUGAGGAAUGAUUUUUUAACUAGAUUUACAUCAUGAGUUUGCAACUACAAAUUUUACACAAGGGUUUCCAACACUAACAUAUGCUAUUGUGAAUAUUUCAGGAUUUAAUGAGCAUGAGAACUAUUCAUUCCACAAUAAGGAGAUUAAACAACAUUCAUUUUCUUAAGUAACCAAAAAUACAUAUCUCACAAGGAUAAAUAUUUUUACUAGUAAGGCAUGAGCAUCAAGAAUCUAACAAAAUUUAUUUGGCAUUUUUAUCAUUUUUCCAGUAAUUAUCAUGCAAAUAACAUUAUUAGGAUAGCAAAUAGGCAAUUAGAUGUAAAAAUAGUAUGAACUCCAUAUAUUCUCUUAAUACAAAUUGCAGAUCUGGAACAUGCAUGUUAAAUGGAAGCUAACAAAAUUGAUUUCACAAAUUUUAGACCACCAAAUGAUUUAUAAGGCAUUUAAUGACUUUUGGACCAAAUAAAUCAUAGCACCAAAUACAGAAUAGUAACAUGCACAAAAAUAUUUUUGAAAUAAACUAGAUGUCAUUAGGAACUCAACAAAACAAGAUUCGCAUUUUUAGCAUUUUUCUACACAUUUCUAUACAUUUUCCAAGUUUGCAGCUAUUUAAAUCUAGGAAAUAAAUCAAAAUCGAGGCCAACUUUUAAAACCACCCUGAAAUAUUUUGAUUAUCGCAUAGAGGUCCCUGAAAUUUUCCCAUAACCCCCUACCCUUUCUUCUUCUUCUUCUUCACUAACACCCUUACGCACAAUGCACAGAAUAGACGCACGGGCAGGCACGGGCUCGGCCGGCCAUUGCCCAGGCAAGCGGUGGUGGGGGGAGCUAGAUGGCGCGGUAGCGGGGGAGAGAGGCGGGGUGGCACCAAGGGCCAGGGUGCUCACCAGCAGGAGGUCCGCACGAGGGAGGCCUUCACGGCGGACGAGAGCGGCGGUUGAGUAGCGAAAUGGGUUCGCAGCAUCGUGGGGAAGCUUUGGGCACGAGAAAUUGGACCGGGGCUCACCGCCGGCGGCGAAUUUCUGACUACAGUGGCAGCUCGGAGGUACUGGUAAUGGACGGAAUGGAGGGAGGAAAGGGGGCAACAGUUCCAGGAGAGGCCGGCGUUGCUUAUAAGGGCGAGGAGCAGCGGGGGCACCGACCACGGUGGCCAAUCCAGAUGAGCACCGCUAGCGCUGGCCAAUGUGUGAGCACCGCCGGUCUGUCCAACCAACCACGCACAGGCGCAAGAGAGAGGUGGAAGACGCUGACGCGUGGGCCCGGCAAAUUUUAAAACAUUCAACUUUCCCUACUCAAAUGACCCAGCUACGGGCACAUAAAACUCUCCUAAAAAUACUCAUUUGAAAGAUAAAACCGCAAAGAAUACAAUGCCAUAAGAAUCACCUCAAGAACUGCUUAGGUUUCCACACAAUUGACAAAGGAAAACAGCCAAAACUGAAAUUUAAAUGAAUUUUUAACAUAAGGAAAUAUCACUGAAAAAUUAAGUAAAAAAUAUUGUAAAAUCAUCAAAUUGCAUCUAGUAUUUAAAUAAAAUAAUAGGAGGCACAAUUGCAUAACAGAAAUCGGAGUUGCUCAAUCAUGUGAACUUAAACAAUGCAUGGCCAAGAUGCUCAAUUAUGCACAAAUGAUGCUCAUGAUGCUCAAUUAUGAAAGUUGCUUCAUUUGAAAAGAUCUACCAUUUUUAUAUUAGCCAAAAAUUAAGUUCUUACAUUAAGUUUGCUUUUAUUUGCUUCCCAAUUGCUUUAGUACAAAGGUGUUUAACACUUAGUCAUUUAGAGUUAGCUUUGAUUUAUUCCUUAAUCACUUUGAUGUUUCUUUGAUUUAGUCUCUUAAUUACUAGGGAUGUCACACUCGGUGGGGUAGAUCCUCUGGAACGGCCACGCCAUCACCUCCCUGGGCAUGUUCCAGCAGUACAAGCUGCAGCUCAACUGGAUAUCGCUUAAGGACGCCAUCAAGGAGAAGCUCACGGUGCUGAAGAACGUGCAGUGGUUAGAGCUCCUCGAGGGGAAGGAUGGCAGCAGUGCGGGCCCGACCAUCGAGCUCAUGGGGCUCGGCAGGCUCAUGAACGAGAAGUCUAGGGUGCUCUCCAUGGGGCAGAGGAAGCGGCUGCAGCUCGCCAGGCUGCAAGCCAUCGACUGCCCAUGUGGUUGCUAGAUGAGCCCUCCAUCGUGAAGGAUGUGGAGGGCACUAGGCUGCUCGAGUACAUCAUUGCGGAGCACUGGAAGAAGGGUGGGAUCGUGUUCGUGGCCAUGCACCUGCCCAUCGAGAUUGAGGAUUCCAUGUCCCUUCGGCUUCCGCAGAGGUUCCCCCAGAGGAAGACGCUGGUUGAUCUUGUCCAUUGAUGUCAAUGUGAGCAUAGGAAUUUAGCUGUAUCUCUCUAAUUCUUCUCCAGCUAUCUGUCUGAAUGCUGUUGGGGCAAAUUUUGACUGGUGCUGCAUUUGUGAUUCUAUAUUCGGGAAAACAUGAACAACACAUUCACAAUGUCCAUAUAUGUGGAGCUGUUCUAUGUGAUCAUGGUUUUGAUGCAUUGGUCGAUAUGUUCUACUUGCUGGUGGAAUCUUCUUUUGUUUCCUAUUCAUGGUGCAGUAGGUUUUACUGAUGAAUUGCUUAACCCAUCUGAAGCUUCAAGUGGUGCAAACCGGGAACCUUGACCAAAUUUGCAGACCUUUGUACAGGAUCAGGUAACUGAUGUGUGGUUUAGGAACAUCUGUUUUCUCACACUUUUAUGCAUCGAUUAACAUUGAUUUCUGUCCUAACAUCCGCGUUCAGUCUGAUCCUGUUUAUAAUUUUACAACUUAGAAAUCUUUGUGCAGCUAUUCCUGUCACCGCAAUAUGUUCAGAACAAGUGGCUGGCUACAUUUCCAAAAUGUGAUGUCGUGUUUAACAGAUAAAUAAACAAUGUUUGAUCUGCAUUUAAUAGUUGUCCACUUGGUUUAUCUCUUCUGGCAGCCUUAGUUUACAUAUCGUUUGUGCUCAUGGGAAUCCUCUGCAUAAAUCAGCACGUUUACUUCUCUACCAAGCUAAUCCUAGUUUUAAUUGGACAAGAAGAAUUCUGAGAAAUAAGUCAUUUCUUCAAGUUGAGGCAUUUCUAUUUUUUCCGAGUGCUAUGUGUACGUCAGAAUAGGCAGUACCCUGUGGAUUUACUGAGAACUUACUGAGUGGAUAUUAAACUAAGUAUCAAAAUCAGUCGUCCAAUUGGACUUGUGCUGAAGUGAGAACCACAUUUCAAAGUGCAUGACCAUAUCUUUGGUGCUUGCGUUGGACGAGUUAGAAGGAAAAAUGCACCAUCGGAUGUUGCGAUGGUCCACCAAAGCAAGUGUCGGACUAACCAUUAGAGAAAUUGGUACAACAGGAAAAACAGUGAAAAAUCUCGAGUGCACCAGAUGAUCCGAUGGGGCUCAUUUUACAAGCGUCGGAGCAAUUCGCUGAGGAGGCAUAGGAAACCCUAUAGCACCGAAUGUUCCGAUGCCCUAUGUAGUUGACCGUUGCACGAAGCAUAUUUACUUUGAAAUCCAACAUAAGGUUUUGGCCAGAAAUGCUUCACCACCAGAUGAUCCGACGGCACCAUCGGAGAAAUCAUCGGAGCAAUGACGUCAAGGGGAUUCAACGGAUAUGUGACAUGAACAGUGGCACCAGAUGAUCUGAUGAGGCAUUUGAUAAAGCGUCGAAUAAAUUUCUAAGGAAUUUGGGUGCGGGGAGUCCAACGGCUAGUUGCACCGGAUGUUCCGAUGCAGGCUAAAAAUAGACCAUCAAAACAUCCGAUGGUAUACUUUUUCACUAGCCGUUAGAGCAACAACUCUUUAAGCCCUUGAAGCUCUUUAUACCCCCACUACUCGCUAAUUUGGAGUUACUGGAGUGUCUAGGGAUCCAUUGAAGACCAAGACCCAUCAAGAACAUAUCCAUGCCACAAAAAGUGCUUAAGUAAUCCCUCAAAGGCUUAGCACAAGCUUAGGAGAGUGAUUAGUGCUAGGAUAGGCCUAGAGAGGAGUGAGUCCAAGGUGUGACAAUCUUGUGAUCAAGGUCUAGAGUGAAUCACCGUUGUACAAGAGGUGUGCCGAUGCCUUGGAGCCUUGGUGGCUCGCCGGCAAGUCUUCGACCCUCCGGCUUGGUGUGGAGCAGCGUCCACGACCUUGUGCGGGGGACGUGGAGAUCCCUUUCCUUCCAGGAGAAGCUCCUUUAGUGAAGACGGCAUCAAGUGUUGGAGGUAUGCCCUAGAGGCAAUCAUAGAAAUGAUGAUAUUCCAUUUGUAUCCAUGAUUUGUAUGUUGUGUUCAUUGAAUAUCCAUUGAAGGCUACUUGAAUUGAUUUGCAAUUAUGUGAAUUGUAUGUGAAACUCUUUACUUGUAUGGUUAUUCUAAAGUUGUCCCUAGUCGGAGUUCAUGUGAGGACACACAUGAAUAUUAGACUAGCACAUGUAUUAGUUGAUGACUAUGUUUCACAAGUCAUGGACAUGGAGAUGUUGAACUAAUAAUGUGGACACAUGUGGAGACAUGUGCUAGGACUGACCCAACACGAGAAGUAGUUCUCUCUUUAAACAACAUAUACGCUUUGUCCUUAGACCUGAGGUUGUCGCAUGUAUUCUAGAUGUGGAUCGACCUACUUAGGGGCUAUCAAACGCUACGCUGUAACAGGGUAGUUAUAAAGGUAGCUUUCGGGUUUGUCAAGAAGCAUGCUAUCAGACAUGGUCAAUCAAGAUGGGAUUUGCCCCUCUCUGAUUGAGAGUGAUAUCUCUGGACCCCUCGAGUGAUCGGAUCCGAAAAUGCAUGGCCAUGCUACGUAUGGUUAAGAGUUAAUCUACAAAGGGAUUCCGAAUCACAAGAUCGACAAAGAGCGGUCGGCUUGAAGCUAGACCAAAUAUCGUGAGGCAAAGGGAAUAGCAUGUAUAUUAUGUUGUGAUGGUUCGUCUGAUAUGAUCUUCGUGUGCGUAUAGGAGUUGGCACGUCUUGCUAGAGGCCGCUACCGACUAUUGGGCCGAGUAGGAGUACUCGGGCCAUGUCUAUACGUAUCCAAACCCAUAGGGUCACACACUUAAGAGGCUGGAAGCCCAAUUCGGAUCUGAUCCGAGUUGGAUUAGGUUUAGGAGUACUAAUGGGCCUCGGAUUCAGAGGCCCAUCAGGAACCUCUAUAAAUAGAGGGGUGGGGGCGCCCUAGGGUUUACACCUUUUGGCGAAACACACCUGCCGCGCCUCCCACGCCCUCACCUGUUGCAACUCGCGGAUCUAGCAGUCCGGCUUGCGACGCUUCCUCCCUACACGUGUGGAUACCUUGGAGGUGUUGCGCCUGCAGCACUUGGACGAGCCAUCGACGAGCCGCCGACGAGCCGUGACGAGCCGACGACGAGCCACGGCACCGGAGGCGAUCUUGCUGCACGUGGACGAGCUGCUGAGGAGCUGCUGGACGUGAUCGACUACGUAUGACUACGUGAUCGUAUUCACUGCACCGACGCAUAUCUACAUCUUCCGCACCAGUAGUGCGUCGAGUGGUAAUCCCGUGAUCCUUAUACGGCAGUUCUUCCUGGUUAUACGCGGUAGAAAUUUUGAUUUGCACUAGUGUAGCCUACCUCGUAUCCCAACAGUGGUAUUAGAGCCGUAGCUGCUUAGUUUUGGAUUCGGGAUGUGUGCAUAUGGAGAUAUGCGAGUUCUCUGUUUGAUCUAUGUCCUGAUUUCGUGCCCUUGCUGCAAUGGUAGUGUAACGACAUACUCCUACCAGUCGGUUUCCGCCAUCGGAGUUAAGUGAUACACGUAAAUCCAGUUGCAGUGAGGGAAGAUCAAUAUGAUUGGUUGAAUCGAGAUCCAGGGUCAUACGCCAGGCGCAUUAGAUGUGCAAUAGUAGAUGGGAUCUACUACCGGGGUCGGGAUUUUGCCGUAUGCGUAUGUUUCGGUAAAUCAGCCGUAACUUUUCGGUACGAUCUCGGAUCGAGGCGAUUUUUAUACGAAAAUUGAUCUACAGAAAAAGUUACACAUGAAUUUCAACGGCUUUGCCGUUUUCAGCGAAAUUAGAUUCCCCAAAUUCGGCUUGGAAGAUGGAGUUUCGGGCCUCCGAAGUUUGGAACGUUAGGACGCCUAACUCUGUUUUGCAGGAUGUAUGCAUGUAUCUUGUGAUCAGUAUGGCCCCCUUGUGUAUGUGAUGCAUGUGUGUAACUCAUUCGUGACCUGCGUGUCACGCGUACGGCAAUACGGCAGGAGCCAUAUGUGUUGUCACUUUAUUGUAUUUAAUGGUCUCCGUACCAAUCUGUGAUGAUCCAAGCAACUAUGUAAUCUUCAUUACUAGAUUCUUUACUAGCUAUUAGGCGUAAUAGCAUGCUCUAGUUCUUGGAGGACUCAUCACUAGGAGGAUGGCGCACAUGGAAUAUGGAGAUGGAGAUCACCAUGGUGAACAGGUUCUAUGGAGAUGGAGAUCACCAUAUGAAAAUGGGUCAUACUGUGUCACAAGCUGUGUGAAUGCUAUUCUGUUUAUGUUUUACUUUCUGCAUGCUGUGAUGUUAGAAGUAGAACGAUCCCUCGCAAAUUUUAAGUUAGUAUGCCCUCCCAACUAAAACUUGCACCGUCCCAUGUCUUGUACAAUUAGUGGUGGGUCUAUAAAAUUAGGGUGCCACUAGUUUUCCUUGACUAGACGGGUUUGUGUCGGACACUUACACGCAUAAGGGUUGGUUUGCUUAACGAGGUUAUCUUAACGGUUAAGGACCUUGGGGCAUAAAGGUUGGGCGCCGAGACAUAGAGAUGUCACCCAACAACAGGAGUCAUAUGUGAUAUGAUUAGCAAAAGUUGCUUACCGAUCUACCUCGUUUGCUAGCGGUGAUGCUAAAGCUCACUAGUAGACUUGUUAGUUGUGGAUCCUGAAUCACUAAGUUUCAAUAGAGGGAUAUUGAUUUUAGUGGGAGUAGAUUCUGUUAAAAUAGUUUAAUGUAAUUUGCUCUAUCAUGGAUACGUUUGUCUUAGUGUAUUUUGCAUUACUUUGUUGUAGAUUAAAUGGCACCUAGCAGCACUACACCGUUUGCUUUGCGUUCGGUCCUUGAGAAGGACAAGUUGAAUGGAACAAAUUACUCGGAUUGGAUCCGUAACCUGAGAAUUGUUCUCAGGGCUGAGAAAAAGGAAGAUGUUCUAGACAACCCACUACCAGAAGAACCUGCUGAUGAUGCACCCGCUGCUGCUAAGAAUGCUUACAAGAAAACAUGUGAUGCUAACCUCGAAGUAAGCUGCCUUAUGCUUGCUUGCAUGGAACCCGAGCUGCAGAUGCAGUUUGAAACAAACCAUGAGGCGCACGAUAUGAUCGUGGCGCUUAUAGACAUGUUCCAAACACAGACCAGGACUGAAAGGUUCAAUGUGUCUAAGGCCUUUGUUGAGAGCAAGCUAGCAGAAGGCGCAGCAGUAGGACCACACGUAAUCAAGAUGGUUGGUUACACUCAACGGUUGGAGAAGCUGGGCUUCCCACUGGGCCAAGAGUUGGCUACUGAUUUCAUUCUUUCGUCUCUUCCGCCUAGCUAUGGAAACUUCAUCUCGAACUACCAUAUGCAUGGGACGGAGAAGGGUCUGAAUGAGCUGUGUGGCAUGCUUAAAACAGCAGAGGCUGACAUCAAGAAAAGCGCUAGUACCAGCCAUGUGAUGGCGAUACAGAACAAGCCUAGCUUUAAGAAGAAGGGCAAUUCUUGGAAGAAGAAGGGCAAGGCUGGAACGUCCAAGCCAAACCCAACGCCCAAGGUUAAAGCUGGACCUGGACCUGCUCCAGACAAGGAGUGCUUUUACUGUCAUGAACUUGGUCACUGGAAGAGAAAACUGCAAGCAGUACCUAGCUUCCUUGAAGAAUGGCGGAAGUAAGAGUACUUCUACCUCAGGUACGCUUGUUGUUAAUAUUAUAGACAACAUAUUUCUCGCUGAUACAAUUAUUAAUUCUUGGGUAUUUGAUACCGGAUCGGUUGCUCAUAUUUGCAAUUCGAUGCAGGGAAUGAUAAGAAGUAGAAGCGUGGAAAGAGGAGAAGUUGAUUUCCGCGUGGGCAAUAAUGCAAGAGUUGCUGCUUUGACCGUUGGGACGAUGCAACUCCACCUCCCGUCAGGAUUUAUUAUGGAGUUGAAUAAUUGUUAUUUUGUUCCUAGUUUAAGUCGAAACAUUUUGUCUCCUUCAUGCUUGAUGGAGGAUGGUUAUUCAUUUGCGAGUGAAAACAAUGGUUGUGUGAUCUCUAAGAAUAAUAUGUUUAUGGCUUUUGCACCCAUUGUGAAUGGAUUAUUUGUUUUAAAUCUUGAUGGUUCACCUGUCUGUAAUGUAAGUGCUAAAAGGCCUCGGCCUAAUGAUUUGAGUCCUACCUACUUGUGGCAUUGUCGCUUGGGUCAUAUAAGUGAAAAGCGCAUGAAGAAGCUCCAUUCUGAUGGACUUCUAACUUCGUUUGAUUUUGAAUCAUACGAGACAUGUGAGGCUUGCUUGGUAGGCAAGAUGACCAAGAUGCCUUUCACAGGAUUUCCUGAGAGGGCAGUAGACUUGUUGGAACUCGUACAUAGUGAUGUAUGCGGACCAAUGAGCACGACGGCUAGAGGAGGAUUCCAAUACUUCAUAACUUUCACUGAUGAUUUUAGUAGAUAUGGCUAUGUCUACUUGAUGAGGCACAAGUCUGAAACCUUUGAAAAGUUCAAGGAAUUUCAGAAUAAAGUUGAAAAUCAGCGUGGCAAGAAAAUUAAGGCCUUACGAUCUGAUCGUGGAGGCGGGUAUUUGAGCCACGAGUUUAGCAAUCAUCUAAAGAGUUGCGGAAUUGUUCCCCAACUUACGCCGCCUGGAACACCUCAGAGAAAUGGUGUGUCCGAGCGACGUAAUCGAACUUUGUUAGACAUGGUUCGAUCAAUGAUGAGCCAGUCGGACCUACCGUUGUCAUUUUGGGGAUACGCUCUAGAAACAGCAGCUUUCACACUUAAUAGGGUACCAUCUAAAUCCGUAGUUAAGACACCAUAUGAGAUAUGGACUGGAAAGGUUCCUAGUUUGUCUUUUCUAAAGAUUUGGGGAUGUGAAGUGUUUGUCAAGCGACUUCAGUCGGACAAGAUCACACCCAAGUCGGAUAAGUGCAUUUUCGUGGGAUAUCCAAAGGAAACUUUGGGAUAUUAUUUCUACAACCGAUCAGAAGGCAAAGUGUUUGUCGCUCGGAACGGGAUUUUCCUAGAGAAAGAGUUUCUCAAAGGAGAAAAGAGUGGAAAGACAGUGCAUCUUGAAGAAGUUCAAGAUGAGCCGAUCGGGCAAGAAUCAAUGAGUGAUGCUAACGUAGCAGAACAAGUUGAGAUACCCAUGGCAAGAGAAGCACCGCCACAACCACGAAGGUCGGCAAGGCUCCGCGAAAUGCGGGAAAUAUUAUUGUUGGACAAUGAUGAGCCUGCGACAUAUGCAGAAGCAAUAAUGGACCCAGACUCCGAAAAAUGGCAGAGUGCCAUGCAAUCCGAAAUAGAGUCCAUGGGAGACAAUCAAGUUUGGAACUUGGUUGACCCGCCUGAUGGUGUUAAAGCCAUAGAGUGCAAGUGGAUCUAUAAGAAGAAAAAGGACAUGGAUGGAAAUGUUCACAUCUAUAAAGCACGACUUGUCGCAAAAGGUUUUCGACAAGUUCAAGGAGUUGACUACGACGAGACCUUCUCGCCUGUAGUGAUGCUUAAGUCCAUUCGGAUUAUUCUAGCUAUAGCUGCAUAUUUCGAUUAUGAGAUAUGGCAGAUGGAUGUCAAGACAGCUUUCCUGAAUGGAAACCUAGCUGAGGACGUGUAUAUGAUACAGCCUGAGGGUUUUGUCGAUCCGAAAAAUGCUGGAAAGGUAUGCAAGCUUCAGAGAUCCAUUUAUGGAUUGAAGCAAGCAUCUAGGAGUUGGAACAUUCGUUUUGAUGAAGUGGUCAAAGGGUUUGACUUCACCAAGAACGAAGAAGAGUCUUGUGUUUACAAGAAGGUUAGUGGGAGCUCUGUAGUAUUUCUAAUCUUAUAUGUGGAUGACAUAUUACUGAUUGGAAAAUAACAUUCCUAUGCUUGAGUCCGUAAAGACUUCACUGAAAAAUAGUUUUUCGAUGAAGGACUUAGGUGAAGCGGCAUAUAUUCUGGGCAUUAAGAUCUAUAGAGAUAGAUCGAGAAGGCUUAUAGGUUUAAGCCAAGAUACUUACAUUGACAAAGUGUUGAAGCGGUUCAGCAUGGAAGAGGCAAAGAAAGGGUUCUUGCCUAUGUCACAUGGCAUACAUCUCAGCAAGACUCAGUGUCCUUCGACUGCUGAUGAGCGGGAUCGCAUGAGUAGAGUGUCAUAUGCCUCGGCUAUUGGAUCUAUCAUGUAUGCAAUGAUAAGUACUCGCCCAGAUGUUUCAUAUGCGCUAAAUAUGACAAGCAGACACCAAUCUGAUCCAGGUGAGAGUCACUGGACAGCGGUGAAAAAUAUUCUUAAGUACUUGAGAAGGACUAAAGAUAUGUUCCUCGUCUAUGGAGGUGAGGAGGAGCUCGUUGUAACAGGUUACACCGAUGCUAGUUUCCAAACCGACAGAGAUGAUUCAAAGUCACAAUCAGGAUUUGUGUUCACACUGAAUGGUGGUGCUGUUAGUUGGAAGAGUUCCAAGCAGGAGACGGUGGCCGAUUCUACGACAGAAGCCGAGUACAUCGCGGCUUCGGAAGCCGCGAAGGAAGGUGUUUGGAUAAGGAAUUUCCUCAUUGAGCUUGGUGUGUUCCCGGAUGCGUCCAGCCCAUUGAAUCUCUACUGUGAUAAUAAUGGGGCAAUUGCGCAAGCAAAGGAGCCAAGGAACCACCAGAAGAACAAACACGUAAUGCGGCGAUUUCAUCUCAUUCGAGACUUCGUUAACCAGGGUGAGAUCAAGAUAUGCAAAAUACACACGGAUCUGAACAUUUCUGAUCCGUUGACAAAACCACUCCCGCAGGCUAAGCAUGAUGCGCAUGUAAGAGCUAUGGGUAUUAGGUACCUUCUAGAUUGACUCUAGUGCAAGUGGGAGACUGUUGGAGGUAUACCCUAGAGGCAAUCAUAGAGAUGAUGAUAUUCCAUUUGUAUCCAUGAUUUGUAUGUUGUGUUCAUUGAAUAUCCAUUGAAGGCUACUUGAAUUGAUUUGCAAUUAUGUGAAUUGUAUGUGAAACUCUUUACUUGUAUGGUUAUUCUAAAGUUGUCCCUAGUCGGAGUUCAUGUGAGGACACACAUGAAUAUUAGACUAGCACAUGUAUUAGUUGAUGACUAUGUUUCACAAGUCAUGGACAUGGACAUGUUGAACUAGUAAUGUGGACACAUGUGGAGACAUGUGUUAGGACUGACCCAACACGAGAAGUAGUUCUCUCUUUAAACAACAUAUACGCUUUGUCCUUAGACCUGAGGUUGUCGCAUGUAUUCUAGAUGUGGAUCGACCUACUUAGGGGCUAUCAAACGCUACGCCGUAACAGGGUAGUUAUAAAGGUAGCUUUCGGGUUUGUCAAGAAGCAUGCUAUGAGACAUGGUCAAUCAAGAUGGGAUUUGCCCCUCUCUGAUUGAGAGUGAUAUCUCUGGGCCCCUCGAGUGAUCGGAUCCGAAAAUGCAUGGCCAUGCUACGUACGGUUAAGAGUUAGUCUACAAAGGGAUUCCGAAUCACAGGAUCGAGAAAGAGCGGUCGGCUUGAAGCUAGACCAAAUAUCGUGAGGCAAAGGGAAUAGCAUGUAUAUUAUGUUGUGAUGGUUCGUCUGAUAUGAUCUUCGUGUGCGUAUAGGAGUUGGCACGUCUUGCUAGAGGCCGCUACCGACUAUUGGGCCGAGUAGGAGUACUCGGGCCAUGUCUAUACGUAUCCAAACCCAUAGGGUCACACACUUAAGGGGCUGGAAGCCCAAUUCGGAUCUGAUCCGAGUUGGAUUAGGUUUAGGAGUACUAAUGGGCCUCGGAUCCAGAGGCCCAUCAGGAACCUCUAUAAAUAGAGGGGUGGGGGCGCCCUAGGGUUUACACCUUUUGGCGAAACACACCUGCCGCGCCUCCCACGCCCUCGCCUGUUGCAACUCGCGGAUCUAGCAGUCCGGCUUGCGACGCUUCUUCCCUGCACGUGUGGAUACCUUGGAGGUGUUGCGCCUGCAGCACUUGGACGAGCCAUCGACGAGCCGCCGACGAGCCGCGAUGAGCCGACGACGAGCCACGGCACCGGAGGCGAUCUUGCUACACGUGGACGAGCUGCUGAGGAGCUGCUGGACGUGAUCGACUACGUACGACUACGUGAUCGUCUUCACUGCACCGACGCAUAUCUACAUCUUCCGCACCAGUAGUGCGUCGAGUGGUAAUCCCGUGAUCCUUAUACGGCAGUUCUUCCUGGUUAUACGCGGUAGAAAUUUUGAUUUGCGCUAGUGUAGCCUACCUCGUAUCCCAACAUCAAGGUGACUGAGUUACUUGGCAUGAGCCUUUGUGGCAAGUCAAAGGAUCACAUUGGGAGAGACAUGGUGACCGGGAAGCAAUAAUCUUGUGUGAGUGCUUCAACAACAUGAACUAGUGGUAGCUUAGUGCCUACCGAUACUACGGGAUAAAUCAUUAUAUCAAGAGUUUGCUUCCUAUCAAAUCAUCAAAUUGCAGAAAUGUUAAUGUUUAAGAUUUGGGAGAAGGUGACCCAAUUACCAUCCUCGCUCCAGCCCAGUUACCAAACUACACUGAGCCCACCCACAACCAACCAACUCGGGCACUCCGCAGUCCGCACGGCCCAACACCCGCCUCACUCCUCUCAGCAGCCCUCCCACACGGCCUCUCCACGCGCCGCCUGCUGCCGCACUCCCCUAAUCAUCGCCACCGCCUCCACCCCAGGGCUACCCACCUUGCCGAGCCCAUCCGUCCACCUCCAACCGACUCACCAGCUCCCGAGCCACCAGACCACUCGGCCAGAUGCUGCCGCUCCGCCCCCCGCCACCGCGGCUCCUGCUCAACAACAUCUCAUGCAUGCGGAACGCGCAGACGGUGCUCCGGGACAUCAACCUCAGCGUCCACGACGGCACGGCCCUCGUCCUCACCGGCGCUAGCAGCUCCGGCAAGACCACCCUGCUCAGCAUGCUAGCAGGCUUCUCGCGGUCCUCGGCGCGGGAGAUCCUCUGGAACGGCCACGACAUCACCUCCCCAAGCGUGUUCCAGCAGUACAAGCUGCAGCUCAAGUGGAUGUCGCCCAAGGACGACGUCAAGGAGAAGCUAAUGGUGCUGGAGAACUUGCAGUGGUUCGAGCUCCUCAAGGGGAAGGACGGCAGUAGGGCGGGCCCGGCCAUCGAGCUCAUGGGGCUCAGCAAGCUCAUGAAGUUUAUACUCUGUAGUCUGCAGUUCUGCACACUUAAGCCCUACUCGUUUCACGAUUAACCUUGUGAUUGGCCGGCCUAGCCAUUUUUUCAAGUUGUGCCAUCUUGAGGAGCUAUCGACCAAAUGGUUCUUCACAUUGCACUCGAAGUUAAUCUGAGUUGCAAGUGUAUCUGCUGCUGCUCGAGCUUGUAGAAACUGGCCGUGAUUUGCAUAUGAGGUGAGUGUUACACUUUGCUCAGGCCCGUUUCAGAUGGCUGUAGACUGUAUUACAUUUGUAAAUACUAGUAUUAUUUUUCCCUGGAGGAACAUUGAUCGAGAGUUCACUAUUUUGUCAUUACUGUUGCCAACAGGGAUCUUGCAAAGAGCACAAUCUUUGACAAGAUCGAUAUCACUUUGCUCAUGAAGCUGGUACGUUGGACAAUGAUUCUUGCAUCCGUCAAGUUGUCGCGAUAAUUGGAAGACCAAGUUUAAGCAUCCAGAGACAAAAUGCUCCCAGUAAUAUGCAAAUACAUAGGGAUGACAGUGUGACACCAGUUCAGGCCUUCAGGGCGUCCUCAAAACUCGCUCAGAGCAUGCUCUGGAAGCAAGGCAAGUGUUCAGGUUCAGUGGUCUGAUGCAAUUUUGAGAUAAAAUUGAAUGUUUUGAGGUUUCCUCACGUCCCAAUUCCUGAGUAGACAUCAGAAAACUACGACUUGCACUGUACUCGGACAGUAGUGUGUUUUCCCAUGACAAUAUAGCUUUGGGAAACUCUCGAUUAUUCAAGCAGUUUCCUGCAACUAAAUGCUGUCCUUUCCUUGGCUACAAAUCAAUUAUAUUCUGGGAAUGGUUUUUGAUAUGCAGGACUACCGUUCAUCCUGCAGCGUGUUGUUGGCCUCGGCCGAAGUAUAAUUUCUGAAACAUCAUAGAGAGUCAGAACGGCACAACGCAGCCUGCUGUUGAAUACUUCAGAGAAUACAGGCUGGUGUGGUAGUUA